Molecule: long non-coding RNA, 7172 nt
Filed under: Sus scrofa (pig)
Lineage: Eukaryota; Metazoa; Chordata; Mammalia; Artiodactyla; Suidae
Description: lncRNA (ENSSSCG00000062859.1)
Source: RNAcentral
ACCCUUCAUCCUGACCAAACCAUGGCAUGCUCUUUACCUGUAGAAUCAGCCUGGAGAAGACACGGGUCUCUUUAGAACCACCCGGGUGCUUUUGUCAGCAAACACUUUACACAAAUGCCUUUGAGAACUGGAUGAAAUAUAUGACUCUUUAAAGGCACACAUGCACAGACAGAGUUUUAUCUGUUACCAGGGAAUUUUUAGCCCCUCUAAAGCUUAUCCAUGAUGCUGAGAUAAGAACUCCCAGAUGAAGGGUAUCAAGUGAAUAUUUAUUCCAAAGUUGGGCACCCCCAGAAUCAUUCUCUUUGCAUCUUUAAGUGAACAUGUUAGGAUAUUCCAGUCCUCCCUCAGUGUAUUUGGAUGGUAUUAUUCACUCCCGACAACACGAUACUUAUGAGUUACUCCCUGAAACUUUCACCUCUGGGACACUUUAGUAAAAACUGGAUGAUACUGUCCUGCUGUACGGCACAGGAAACUCUAUCCAAUCACUUGUGAUAGAACAUGAGAGAAGAUAAUAUGAGAAAAAGAAUGUGUGUAUGUAAAACUGGGUCACUCUGCUGUACAGCAGAAAUUGACAGACCAUUGUAAAUCAAAUGUAAUAAAAAUUUUUUAAAUAAAGUGGACAAUGCCUUAAGCCCAAAAGGCAGCAGCCAAAGCGAUCCUGCACUAGCGAAGCAAGAUCUUCUCAUCUUCCCUGUCAGUCUUCAGCUUCUAAUUAUGCAAAUGAAACCUUGCCACUCAUUUGCUAGACCUCAUAAUUCACACUCAACAGGCUAUCCGUUGACAACUGUUUAUUGAGACACUGCCACGGAGGCAGGGCUGUGCCAAGCCCUCCUAAUCCCAUGGCACAGCACACUUGACCAAGAAAUACACAAGAGGAAUAAAGAGUGAAGGCACCAGGUAGGAGGGAUUAGUGAAAGGGAAAAGACUAGAUGUAACCCAGUGCUGAACUGCAGAGUAUCUGCCUUAGGGGACAAGGGAUGCUUGAAUGAGGUCAGCACUUCCUUGUAGAAACUGACUGAAUGGUACAAGGCAAAGAGAGGUUAGUGGCUAGUUUCUACACCUAGUUCUUUUAGGGGAAUCUGGCUUGCAUUCCUUGAAGCCUCCAUGGACACACCAGCUGGGGUCUACAGAGCUUGAUGGAUCAAGCAUGUUUGGUUGUUUUCUUUUUUUCCUCCCAAAGCAAGGAGCACAUUCUGAUGAGAGUUACAGGAAAUUGAAGAGGAAAAACACAAGAUAUGUCCUAUAAACAAAACAGCAAUGAAUCUACCUACCAGCUCAAGAAUUUUCUCACAGAUGGAAUUUCUUCUCUGAUAUCUUUUCCCCAGCCUGUCCACACUGACCAAAAGGGAGAGCAUAUUUAUGCACCAACUGGGCAUAGUAUUUUCUACCACUUCUGCCACACUAUAAACAGCCUGUGGAAGGGUCAUAUUCUGUAUUGGGUGCCAUAAUUUAAUUCACUGGACAAGUGCCUACUGCGUGUCUUCUGCAGAAAUACAGCAGGCAUGUAUGUGGAUUUGUGUGUGGUGGUUUAGGGAAAGAUGGAUGGCAGGAGAAAAAUGCAGGAAUAAAUACCAUGCGGUAAUCUCCCCACCCCUACCCCCACAGAGUUCCCAGGCUAACAAACCAGUAAGGAGCUGCAGACACAAAUAACCACAAAACCAGGUCAUUAUGCUACAUACAAGAGGACUCUUGAAGCUACAUUAUGCUGCAAGAGAGGACUCUGCUGAAGGAGCAGAGAUAAGCUGUGUUGAAGUGCUAAGCACCUAAUUGACACUCUGUAAAUGAGAACUGAAUGAGAAAGGCGUUCCGAUGAAGAGCCAAGAUGCAUUUCUGCACUGCAGAAAGUCGCACGUCAAGUGGAAAUCGAUACAAAAGACCACACUGACAGCUGACGGGGAGAGAGCACUUCACGGACCCUCAGGGAAGUCCAAUGGCUAAUUAGCAUGUGGCAUGCUCCAGGAAAACAAAGGUGGGCUUUCUUACUGGAUGCUCCAUGCAACUGGGGGAGCAGGAUAUGUCAGUAGACAAGAAAAAUAGGCGCCAUUGUGGAACUUCAAGGCCCCUUCAAGGACAUAGAACUCAUAGCCUCUGGCUAAGACAAGAAUGGCCAGACCCUUCUCAUCACCCCACCCAUCUCAUUGCAAUGCCCCCUCCCCCACCUUGAACCACCUGGCCUACUCCUUCCUACCCUCUACUAGGAAAGGUAUGUAGCCCACGACUCACCCUGAUCCUGUAGGGGCCUUAUAUGCCCACAAUCAACCAACAAUUGUAUCCUAAGACCCCUCUUGUCCCAACCAAUCAGCACGUCAGCAAGUGUAUCCUGAGACCUCUCCUCUCCCUGUGCUUUAAAAAUAGACACGACCAUGUGCCCAGGGUCAGCUCUUCCUGAUUAUCAGGAAGUCAACCCACGGCACUAGCAGUGCCUCUUAUCUCCAUAAACUUUUUCUUUUCACCCCCCCCACUAUGAAUCUAGAAAAUUCUUCUACCCACCCACACGUACAGACCAAUGACAGCCAAAUUAACACAAAUACAAAAUAUGUAAAGCUUUCAACAGGGAGCCACAAAGAUAGAACCUGCCGUUUUCACAAAAUAAGUAACAGUGAUGUCAUUUAAAAGGAAAAUUAAGUUGUAGGAAACCGACAGCCAUAUCGUUCAACUCAUGACACUAAUAUAGAGGGUGCCAGCAUCAUGUUCCAUGGAAGUGGCCAGCAUCUCAAAAGUUGACUUCCUUCUGAGCCAGUCAAACAAUAUGGGUCUCACUCUGUUGCUCCUAUUUUGGACAGAGAUGUCUUCAGAAUGACACUGCCUUGGUCAGUGUCUCCUCGGGCAGACAAUGACAAAGCAUUUUGUAUCUAGCCGAUAGCUGACUUGGAGGUCUCAUCCUACACACUUGUUAAUGGCAAUUUUCAUGGCACAAUCACUCCAAUCAACAGAACAUCAGAACAUCCAUGGUACCAAAAGAGGUGGACAAAGAUGUCAGCUCUCCAUACUGUCAUUCUGCCCAAGACCAAAGGGCUGACUUAGUAGAAAAUGCCUUUGACCAAGGAAGUGAACAGGGUUCAUACAUUUUUCAUGCAUGAGUAACUCAAAAUCCAGCACUUUCUUCUCACAAAGUCACUUAACGAAAUCAUCUUCCUCUGUCAAAAUGAAUUUGCAUCACCCUUGAGAUUUAAAACCGGUUAAUGUCCAGUUUCUCGUUAAAGCUGAUCUCUCCCUAAUCGGAUUCUGCCCUCACACAAACCUCCAUCACCUAGAAUCCCCCUUUCUCCAGCACUGUCUGUCUCUACUCUUUCCCCUGCGUGGAAUGACACCAGAGUAGCAAAGAUGAAGUUAAUUCUCAAUUUUAAUUAUUAGUAUACAAUGCUCAUUCUCUUGCAACAGAAUUCCCUUAUUUUAAGCCUCCCUUGACUGCAAAGUCCAGACUUUAUGACUUUGGCCAUGCCCACAGCAUCUGGAAGCUCCCGGGCUAGGGAUCGAACCCCCGCCACAGCAGCGACCGGAGCCCCAGCAGGGACAGUGUCAGACCCUUAACCCUAGUGCACCACAGGGGAAUGCUUAAGGCUUUAUGACCCUGAAAUCCAAACCACCACAAGCUCUCUUUACCAGCCUUGGGUCCUGGUUUCAUCCUUCAUACAGCUCAAUGGACAAACCAGAUGACAGAUUCUCUUAUAGACAUCUUAUGCCUUAAACUCCUCCUUUAUGAGGCCCUCAAGCACAGAAUAUGUUGAUCUCAUGAGCAGAAUGGACCAGAAUGAGCCCUGUCACCCAUGGAGACCCAACACUGCAUUCCCGCCCACCGCUUUGAUUUCAGCACUGAGGAAGGGGACAGCUCCACACCCCACUAGGAAAAGCUCUAACCAGCUUCGUGUCUCCCCACCCCCAUGUAAGGCCACGGGGGGUUCAAGCCCACAAGUCAACACCCUGUGACUACCAUCAAAGUAAUAAGAUAGGGUUAUGAAUGGAUUAGUGUCCCCAGGUUCAUAUCCUUCUUACCAAACAAUUUUACCCAGAACAUCUCCAUGGCCUUUUGUAAAAGGUUGAGCCAUGUUCUGUCUCUCUGAUCCAUUUUUCUUUCUUUCUUUUUUUUUUCUUUUGGUCUUUUUAGGGCUACACCCGUGGCAUAUGGAGGUUCCCAGGAUAGGGGUCGAAUCAGAGCUGAAGCAGCUGGCUUACACCACAGCCACAGCAGCACUGUUUCCGAGCUGCAUGUACAACCUACACCACAGCUCAAGGCAAUGCUGGAUCCUUAACCCCCUGGGCAAGGCCAGGGACUGAACCAGCAUCCUCAUGGAUACUAGUCAGAUUCAUUUCCUCUGAGCCAUGACAGGAAGUCCACUGAGCCAUGUUUCAUAUUAAAAUGGCAGUAUGACUGGCUAGAGAGAUACAGACUUAACGUCCUACUGCCCUUUCUUUUCAUAAAGAAACACAAGAAGUAUUUUUUUUUAUAGGUACCUGUUCUGUAAGUAAGGUGUUUCACAAGUCAAUAGCUGAAGAUUUGGGGUGACUUUGUACCCAGGGACCAGUUCAAUAGGAAAGCCAGCUCCACUGUAAUUUGAUCUGAAGAAGUGGUUGAAACAGAAACGGAAAUUGCCAUCAAACACAGAAGAUUGCUUUCGAGCAAUUUCCCUGUUUUAUGUUCAAAAGCGUUUAUUUUCAGAAACAUGGUCUGACUUUUCCUUUCCGAGGGAUCAAAUUCUCAACAUGUGCUUGGGUCUCUCUUUGCUUAAACGGCCUUAGAAUUCAACUGCGCUAUGCCCUGCUUCUUCAAAGCGCCCACCUCCCACCCCCGUGGAAUUCCUGGAGCGACCAAGGGAUGUCUGUCAGAACAGACAAAACCAAAGGCCCUUCACAGUUGCUCAGGGAAGCCUGGAUGGCACGGCAACAUCACACAGAGCUCAUCAGACUGCUUCAUCUUCUAUUCCUUUUUGCACAGAUGCACACAGGUAAGAAACCCAUAUUACAAGGGAGAGAGCCCUCAGGUGUGUGUCUACGAUCACAUCAGCAGCAGGAUUAAAACCGAGACAAAAUAACCCCACACAAAGAAACCCUGGAGUGAACACCGCUGAUGUUGAGUUGGCACCACUUAGAUGUAGCAAAUUGCAGAGAAAAGCUCCGGUUCAGCUGGAAGACUUUCCCUGGAUCUUAACCCUUCUCCAAAACCUUCUGAUAAACUGCCUUCCCAUAGCUAAACAUCUCCUCUGGGACCGUAUUAGCGAUCAACCUUAGAGCUUCUUUCCAGACAAAGUCAACUCUGAAAUUGGCCUCGGACCCCUGCUUUCCCCUCAACUCCCCGAAUUCUGUACCCACAUCUCUCUUUGUUCUGCUGACUGAUGUUGCUGCUCAGCUUUUUGAUAGACCAGAGGUAGGGUGGGGGGGAGAAUGAAGACUUAACAAGAGGCUUACUGGGAAAGUGAUUCUGAAUUAUUAAUAAAAAAAAAAAAACAAACAAAAACCCACAUCACAGUUUCAUUCUUUGAGAAGACAUGAACACUGAUUAUUCCACAUUUCCCCCAAAGAGAAACAACUGCAGUGCAAAAUGGAAAUUAACUCGUGUCCACGACAAUCCUGGGGAUGUGUUCAGCCUGCCGGUACGGCAUCCAUCUGUAUCAGGAGCCAUCUCAAGGGUGCGGAAAUGCCCAAAGACAACCCUAUCCCCAUGAAAGCAAACAGAGGCUGCUUUUCAGAGUUCGCUAUAGAAGGGGAGACAGCCACCAGCACAUUCCUGUGAGAGACUCAAAAGCAGGCAGAGAGUGGAAAGCAAUAUAGUGAGAAAAGGGUUGCAUUCGGAUUGCGGUGGGGAGGCUGCUGGCUGGAGGAUCCAGAGGCAGAGUGACCAGAGGUGGGGUACCCCACGUCAGUUUGGGGGAGCAUGCUUCACUUUCUCUGGCGGGUCCUGUGCUGGAAGAGAGGCAGAAAACAGAGAACCAUUCUGGGAUGGUUGUGGAAGAGGCUUCACAGAGCUGGUUGCUAAGGAGGGGACAAGCCUGCAUUCUAGUGGCAUAUACUGUCUGUCCACUGUCCAUUUCUGAUUUUGUUUUGUUUGUUUGUUUGUUUGCUUUUUCUUUUUAAGGCCACAUCUGUGGCAUAUGGAAGUUCCCAGGUGAGGGAUCAAAUCAGAGCUGCAGCUGAUGGCCCACACCACGCCAUAGCAAUGCCAGAUCUGAGCCAUGUCUGCAACCUGUACCACCGCUCACGGCAAGGCUGGAUCCUUAACCCAGUAAGCAAGGCCAGGGAUCAAACUCACAUCCUUGUGGAUUUAGUCAGAUUCGUUACCACCGAGCCACAACAGGUGCUCCCUGAAAAUCCUCAUUGCUAAAAUAAAGAACAGUAUCACAAACGGACUCACCCAGAGCCAGACAACCGAUGAAAGUCACGGUCUGGGUGAGGUGCUCCAAGCUCAGCAUGGACAAAGCAUGAUGCUCUAAAAUAUUUUCACAGAGGGUAAUUCUUGGCGGGGGGGGGGGUCCUUCUUCAGUUAAGUUUUACUUAAAAAUUUUUUUUGGUCAUGACCACAGCAUGCAGAAGCUCUAGAGCCAGGGAUCAAACUUGGACUAGAGCAGUGACUGCAGCCACAGCAGAGACAAUGCCAAAUAAAUCCUUAAACACUAGCCACCAGGGAAUUCCACUUUAAAUCUGAAAUUCACACGCGAAGUUAGGUAAAGCUAGAGCCCUACUUCUGCAUAAAACUUUUACUCGCCGUUGUAUUUACUUCAUAGAAACUGUUUGACUCUUGGUGUAAAACAGGCAUGUUCAGUUCUGCAUAAGAAUGGCUGUUAGAAUGAGCCAUUCCACAAACAGACAGACACUCUGAUGGACUACGAUGGAUAAUAACGCACCUUGACAGGCAUAUUGAACAUGUUUGCCAGGUCCAAAACUUCAAUAUCUCUCGAAGAAGGCAAAAAGCAACUAGUCACUGUGACAGCUAUCACCUAGAAACAUAAGGUGAAGGAGGGAGUGGGGUGGACGGGAAGUUUGAGGUUCGUAGAUGCAAACUCUUGCAUCUGGAGUGGAUAAGCCAUGAGGUCCUCUGGCUGUAUAGCACAGGGAACUCUAGCUAGCCACUUGCGAUGACACAUGAUGGAAGAUAAGGUGAGAAAAAGAAUGUAUAUACGUAUGUAUGACGGGGUCACUUUGCUGUUCAAUAGAAAUUGACAGAACAUUGUAAAUCAACC